CCUACGGGAGGCUGCAGUGAGGAAUAUUGGUCAAUGGGCGCGAGCCUGAACCAGCCAAGUCGCGUGAGGGAGGACGGCCCUACGGGUUGUAAACCUCUUUUGCCGGGGAGCAACGGGCGCCACGUGUGGCGCCACUGAGAGUACCCGGAUAAAAAGCAUCGGCUAACUCCGUGCCAGCAGCCGGGGUAAUACGUAGGGGGCGAGCGUUAUCCGGCUUUACUGGGUGUAAAGGGGGCGUAGGCUGUGAGGUAAGUCAGCGGUGAAAUGCCCCCGGUCAACGGGGUGACGUGCCAUUGAUACUGGCGUGCUGGAGUGCGGAUGAGGUAGGCGGAAUGUGUGGUGUAGCGGUGAAAUGCAUAGAUAUCACAAAGAACACCGAUUGCGAAGGCAUCUCACGAAUCCGCGAUUGACGCUGAUGCACGAAAGCGUGGGUAUCAAACAGGAUUAGAUACCCCAGUAGUC
This 462-nucleotide ribosomal RNA is filed under the name uncultured bacterium. RNAcentral describes it as "partial 16S ribosomal RNA". It matches the Rfam family "Bacterial small subunit ribosomal RNA", at positions 338 to 795 of the family's 1533-position model. The record is from RNAcentral.